RNAcentral lists this ribosomal RNA (253 nucleotides) under uncultured bacterium. Its description in RNAcentral is "partial 16S ribosomal RNA". It matches the Rfam family "Bacterial small subunit ribosomal RNA", at positions 524 to 776 of the family's 1533-position model. The record is from RNAcentral.
UACGAAGGGGGCUAGCGUUGUUCGGAUUUACUGGGCGUAAAGCGCACGUAGGCGGAUCGUUAAGUCGGGGGUGAAAUCCUGGAGCUCAACUCCAGAACUGCCUUCGAUACUGAGAGUCUUGAGUCCGGGAGAGGUGAGUGGAACUGCGAGUGUAGAGGUGAAAUUCGUAGAUAUUCGCAAGAACACCAGUGGCGAAGGCGGCUCACUGGCCCGGUACUGACGCUGAGGUGCGAAAGCGUGGGGAGCAACAGGG